This 249-nucleotide unclassified non-coding RNA is filed under the name uncultured Gemmatimonadaceae bacterium. Its description in RNAcentral is "contains 16S-23S intergenic spacer region". The record is from RNAcentral. Lineage: Bacteria; Pseudomonadati; Gemmatimonadota; Gemmatimonadia; Gemmatimonadales; Gemmatimonadaceae.
UAGGCUUGACAUGCAUAGGAAACCUGCCGUCUCUGGCAGGUUUCCUAUGCAUGUCAAGCCUAGGUAAGGUUCUUCGCGUUGCGUCGAAUUAAACCACAUGCUCCACCGCUUGUGCGGGCCCCCGUCAAUUCCUUUGAGUUUCAGCCUUGCGGCCGUACUCCCCAGGCGGGGCACUUCAUGCGUUAGCGCCGGCACCCAGGGGGUCGCUCCCCCAGGCACCUAGUGCCCAUCGUUUACGGCGUGGACUAC